RNAcentral lists this ribosomal RNA (253 nucleotides) under uncultured bacterium. RNAcentral's name for it is "partial 16S ribosomal RNA". It matches the Rfam family "Bacterial small subunit ribosomal RNA", at positions 524 to 776 of the family's 1533-position model. The record is from RNAcentral.
UACGUAGGGUCCGAGCGUUGUCCGGAAUUAUUGGGCGUAAAGGGCUCGUAGGCGGUUCGUCACGUCGGGCGUGAAAACUCGGAGGUUAACUCCGAGCCUGCUUCCGAUACGGGCAGACUAGAGGUAGGCAGGGGAGAGCGGAACUCCUGGUGUAGCGGUGGAAUGCGCAGAUAUCAGGAAGAACACCCGUGGCGAAGGCGGUUCUCUGGGACGGUACUGACGCUGAGACGCGAAAGCGUGGGGAGCGAACAGG